This 7199-nucleotide long non-coding RNA is filed under the name Nicotiana tabacum (common tobacco). RNAcentral's name for it is "long non-coding RNA (NTAB_LNC016193)". Lineage: Eukaryota; Viridiplantae; Streptophyta; Magnoliopsida; Solanales; Solanaceae. The record is from RNAcentral.
GACAAUUAAGUGAUACUCUCCUAAGGGUACAUUAGUCAUUUACUUAUACACUAAGCUAAAUUAGUUAGUGUUAAAUACUUUACAUAUACAUAUAUAAAGAGGUGAUAAAAAGAAGUAAUGAAAAUAAUAGACAUACGCUCUUUUCUUUCUCUUUUCUUCUUUCUUCUCUCUGCUAUUCUCUGCUAUUCUAUCCUCUGCUUCUAACUGGGUUUCAUCCCAUUCAUCUUCUUUCAAAUUAUCUCAUGGUAUCAGAGCCAUCUCGCUAGAUAUUCUAGUCGAAGAAUUGGCAUUUAGUGUUUGUUAAAAUUGCAUGUUGCUAAUCUUGAAAUUCUGAAAUUCUUGGGCUUUUCUUGAACUGAAAUGAGUUCAAUCGGAGAACAACCUUCAGAUGGUACAACUACAGGAGAUCGACAAAAUCUGGGUAUUGGAGUUCCAAACCCAGGAAAUGCAGGAAUCGAUUACAACCAUCCUCUGUUUCUUCUCCAGCUGAUGUUAGUGGCAUACAAAUCAUUUCGUUCCAGUUGACAGGUAUUGAAAAUUACUCUAUCUGGUUUAGAUCUAUGCGUGUAGCUUUAUUGGGUAGAAACAAAUUGGGGAUGGUAGAUGGUACAUGCAAGAAAGAAUCAUUUCCUGAAUUCAUGUGGAAUCACUGGGAAAGAGUUAAUGCAAUAGUCCUUUCUUGGAUUAUGAAUUCUGUAGCUAAAGGUCUGCUUGGGGGGAUAAUGUAUGCGUCAAGUGCACAAGCAGUCUGGGAAGACCUGGCUGAAAGAUUUAACAAGGUUGAUGGGUCAAGAAUCUUCAACCUGCAUAAAGAAAUUGCAACCUUGACCCAAGGAACAUCAUCUGUAUCAGUCUAUUAUUCACGACUGAAUGAUUUGUGGAAAGAAUUUGAGUCAUUGGUUCCUGCCCCAAGUUGUGAUUGUGCAAAAUCAAGGGAAUUUGUGAUCUAUCUGCAAAAAUUGAAGUUAUACCAAUUUCUAAUGGGACUAAACGAUUCUUAUGCACAAGCUAGAAGCCAGAUACUUAUGAGAAGUCCUGUACCAAAUGUGAAUCAAGCAUAUGUUAUGAUAGUAAGUGAUGAAAGUCAAAAGGCUAUAGCAGCUACAUCAAGGGUGUUAGGAGCUAAUCCUAGUGUGGUUACAGGAAAUUAUGAUGUUGCAUUAUAUACUAGAACUGUUGUGGGUAACCAAAGGUUUAAGAAAAAUUACAACAUCUCAUGUGAUUUUUGUAAGAUGAAGGGGCAUAGUAAAGAGAAUUGUUACAAGAUAGUGGAUAUCCUCCUGAUUUUAAGUCGAAAAAGAGAGGGGGAGCAGGAAAUGGUGCAACCUACAAUGUAUUUGGGGAAGGUGUUCCACAGAAUGGUAUACUGACAAACAAUAUGACUGCGGGCAAUCCAAAUACAAUUGGAGUAAACCAAACUGCAGGACACGGACAGGAGAAUAUAAUGACUCAGCUAUCUCAACUUGGAGUGUCUCCAUUUACAAAAGAACAGUAUGAUCAGAUUCUGCAGUUACUCAACAAAAAUCCUGCACCAGUUAGAAACAAUACAUCAUCAUCUGCAGCAAAUGUAGCAGGUACAAGUACAAGUACAACUUUACUAGCUUCAGAGGAUAGUAAGAAAGAAUGGAUAGUUGAUACAGGAGCUACAAAUCAUAUGGUCGCUGACCUAAAACUGUUAGAAAAUUCAUUUGUGAUUCAACCUGAAAUUCCAAAGAAAGUCUAUAUGCCUAAUGGUGACAUUUCAUGUGUGACACAUAUAGGAGCCAGCAAAUUACCUAACAAAAAUAUCAUUACUAAUGUGUUUCAUCUGCCUCAAUUCAAGUUCAAUUUGUUAUCAGUUUCUAAAUUGACCAAAGAGCUAAGGUGUUCGGCUACCUUCUUUCCUCACUUCUUCAUUUUUCAGGAACUCUUCAAUGGGAAGGUGAAGGAGAUUGGUAAGGAAGAUAAUGGUCUUUACAUACUUGAUGAUCAAACACCUGGAAGUUGCUCAAAUGUCUCUUUGGCAGUUAAAAAGAAGAAUGUUGAAGGUGAAAUAGUUCAGUCAGAAGAUAUUGAAUUGUGGCAUCAAAGGUUUGGUCAUGUAUCUACUGCAGUUCUUAGACAUUUGCUACCUAUAAAUGUAGAGCUUAUAGCUGACAAAGUAAAUAAGUGUGCAAUAUGUCCAUGUGCAAAACAAACAAGAUUGCCUUUUCCUGCUAGUAAUAUUAAAUCUGUUGCUUGCUUUGACUUAGUACAUAUGGACUUAUGGGGUCCCUACAAAAUAGCAACAUAUGAUGGCAACAAAUAUUUUUUUGACUGUAGUUGAUGACUAUUCUAGAAUGUGUUGGGUGUUCUUACUUAAACUGAAGUCUGAUGUAUGUGUGAUAAUUAAGCAGUUUAUCACUUUUGUUAAGACUCAAUUUGAUAAGGUCAUUAGAGUGAUCAGGACAAAUAAUGGAACAGAAUUUGUCAACUCUGUUUGCAGUAGUUUGUUUCAACAACUAGGCAUAAUUCAUCAAAAGACAUGUGUCUAUACUUCUCAGCAAAAUGGAGUUGCUGAAAGAAAGCAUAGACACAUAUUAGAAGUUACUAGAGCUAUUAGGUUUCAGACAGAGAUUCCAAUCAAAUUUUGGGGUCACUGUGUGUUAGCUGCAGUAUAUCUUAUAAAUAGGAUACCUAGCAUAGUGAUCAACAAUCAAUCGCCCUAUGAGAGGUUGUACAGAAGAAGACCAUCCUAUAAUCACAUGAAAGUUCUAGGAUGUCUAUGUUAUGCAAAAAUAGUUCAAUAAUAUGACAAAUUAAUGACAAGAACUAGACAAGCAAUUCACAUGGGAUAUGCAGAAAUACAGAAAGGAUAUCUACUUUAUGAUCCCACUGACAGAAGCUUCUUUGUCAAUAGAGAUGUGAUUUUUAGAGAAGAUGUAUUUCCCUUCAAAGUUAAACAAAAAGUCACCCCACCUAUAUUUCAAAAGUCUGUUCCUGACUCAAUGUCAUAUGAUUCAUAUAGUACUCCUGAAGGUCAACUAUCUGGAAUUAGAACCUCUACUACUCAGACAUUAAAUACUCAAUCUGAAGUAGUUGAACCUCUAGAAGUACAGUGUACUGAUAUGGAUCAAAUCAAUGAGGUUCAAAUAGAACCAGAUGAGUCUCAACCUCUUAUCAAUGCUCAGCACCUUCAUGAACCUCUAGAAAAUCAACAUCAAGCUGAAGUUGCUGAAAUAACCGAAUCUUUAGUGAAUCAAAACCAACUGAUAGAAGGUGGAAUUAGGAGGUCUGGUAGAGAAAAAAGGCCACCUAUUUGGAUGAAUGACUUUGUGUCUCUAAACAUUCAUCAUGAGGUUCCUUAUGCUAUGUCUAAGUAUAUCACUUACAAUAAUAUCUCUCCCUCUUAUCAAGCAUAUAUAGCAGUCUCCUCAUCUACAACUGAACCUUCAAACUACUGUGAAGCUGUUAAAGAACCCAGGUGGGUCGAUGCAAUGAAGGCAGAAAUUGAAGCCUUAGAAACUAAUCAUAUAUGGGACAUAGUCUCAUUACUUGAGGGCAAAAGUCCUAUAGGAUGUAAGUGGAUUUAUAAAAUCAAAUACAAGGCUUCAGGAGAAAUUGAAAGAUUUAAGGCGAGAGUAGUGGCAAAAGGGUAUAGUCAAAAAGAAGGCAUUGACUAUCAAGAAACAUUCUCACCAGUUGUGAAAAUGAAAACUAUCAGAACUGUCUUGUCUAUUGCAGCUGGUAAACAAUGGCAUAUACAUCAAAUGGAUGUAUACAAUGCUUUUCUUCAAGGGGAUUUACAUGAUGAAAUAUAUAUGCAAUUACCACAAGGAUUCAAGAGUUAGGGGGAGAAAAAUCCAGUGUGCAGACUCAUAAAAUACUUGUAUGGGCUAAAACAAGCCCCAAGGCAAUGGAAUGCCAAACUAACAGAAGCUUUACUAAGUUUUCAAUUUCAACAGAGCCAAUGUGAUCAUUCUCUCUUUAUUAAGAAGACAAGUGAAGGCACAAUAAUAGUUCUUGUAUAUGUUGAUGGCAUGUUGAUUACAGGUGAUGGUCUAAAGCUAAUUGAAGACACAAAAGCUACUCUACAACAAACUUUUAAGAUGAAGGAUUUAGGUGAGCUAAAAUACUUCCUAGGUAUUGAAUUUGCAAGAUCCAAACAAGGGAUCUUAAUGCAUCAAAGGAAGUACACACUAGAACUCAUUUCUGAAACUGGCUUAAGUGCUGCAAGGCCAGCUAUAACACCUAUGGACAGCAAUAUCAAGUUACCUACAAAAGAGUAUGAUGACUAUGUUGAAGAAACAGGUAAGUCAGAAGAUGGUUUACUUCCUGAUCCAAGCAUUUAUCAAAGAUUAAUUGGGAAACUUCUGUACUUAACUAUGACAAGACCAGAUGUAUCAUACAGUGUACGGAACUUAAGUCAAUGCUUACAACAGCCUAAAAAAUCUCACAUGGAAGCAGCACUCAGAAUUGUGAAAUAUAUGAAAAAUCAGCCUGGGCAAGGAAUUCUUCUGUCCAGCAAAUACAACAAUACUAUUUCUGCAUAUUGCGAUGCAGAUUGAGCUUCAUGUCCACAAUCUAGAAAGUCUAUAACAGGCUACUUAGUUAAACUUGGAGAAUCUCUAAUUUGUUGGAAGUAAAAGAAACAGACAACUGUCUCAAGAAGCUCGGCAGAAGCCGAGUACAGAAGUGUUGCUGCUACAGUUGCAGAACUGAUUUGGUUAUUGGGUCUACUUAAGGCAAUUGGUAUUGACGUAAAGACACCAGUUGACAUUUUCAGUGACAGUAAAGCUGCUAUGCAAAUAGCAGUAAAUCCUGUUUAUCAUGAAAGGACUAAACACAUUGAAAUUGAUUGUCACUUUAUAAGGGAAAAAAUAGUCCAAGGAGUGGUUACAACAAAGUACAUUUCCACAAGGGAUCAGCCAGCUGACAUCUUAACCAAAAGCCUCAGUAAAGUUCAACAUGAGUAUCUUUGCUCCAAGCUAGGAGUUCUUAACGUUUUUUUUCACUACCUAGCUUGAGGGGGAGUGUUGAGACAAUUAAGUGAUACUCUCCUAAGGGUACAUUAAUCAUUUAUUUAUACACUAAGCUAAAUCAGUUAGUGUUAAAUACUUUAUAUAUACAUAUGUAAAGAGGUGAUAAAAAGAAGUAAUGAAAAUAAUAGACAUACGCUCUUUUCUUUCUCUCUUCUUCUUUCUUCUUUCUUCUUUCUGCUAUUCUAUCCUCUUCUUCUAACUGGGUUUCAUCCAUUCAUCUUCUUUCAAAUUAUCUCAUACAUUGUAGCUCUAGUUGAUCAGGAGACUCAAAUGAUACAUUUCGUAAUAUUUUAAUGUUUUUAUGAACUUGACACCUUUGAAUUGCUAAAACUGACUUCUCUUUGUGUCAAAGGAACCAAAAAGAACUCCUUUGGAUUCUACUUCUCCUUACCUAAACCUGGAAAUAUAUAACUAAUAAAGUAAGUGAAUGAUUCUGAAAACUAGAUGAACAUUGCUGUUUUUGUAGCUGAAGAGAAUUCGAAAGCUGAUGAGCCGAAAGCAGCAGAACCUCCUCAAAAAACAGAAGAUCCGCCUCAAGGGAGUCUUUGACUUGAUCUAAAGUUAAAGUCAUCAUCAAUAUACACUUGCUAAAAUCGACUUUUGUUCUUCGACAGAAUUAAUGGAGGCACAAGGGGCAGUAUGCUUGAGACAUUUCUGCCCUUUCCCUCAGCUGUCUUUGAGACUAUAGAGCGUGCAUGAUUUUGCAAUGCCCCCAUCAGAAGAAGAUGCACUUCUUAAUUUGGUCGCGACUUUUCCAUUUUUUUCCCUUUAUUUAUCUUCUUUGUUGGAAAAGUGUUACUCAAUAUGAUCUUUUUUCAAAUGAGUCUUUAGUCUUUUGUUAAAUCCUUGAUUCUGUUCAGGAAAAAAGGAGGAUUUGCUGAAAGAUUUUGAUCCAAUCCCUCCAUAUUUUUACUUAUUGUAAUUGAACAAAGUUGUGAUAAUGAAAAGCCUAUGCAAAAACAUUCCUGUUAAGAUUAUAAUGCUCAUUCUGGAGAUCCGCUAAAAAUAAUUCCUCUAUUGACUAUAUGACUUAAAUUCUAGAUUCUACAACUGAGAACAUCAAGAAAGUAGUAGAUUAUAAGAUAGAGUACAACUUCAGAACUUUCUUACGGCAUGCACACUGCAUAAAUCUGAUACAUACUUGUUGGGACCACAAAAUCAGGUGUUAUGAGUAAGCUAGCAAAGCAAACCUUCAACGACUAUAAAUAUAUAGGACAGCAAAAGAGAAAUAUACCAAAAGAGACACAAACAUUUAACGUGGUUCGGUCAAUUGACCUACGUCCACGACAGAGAUGAGCAAUCCACUAUAUAAAAGGAGAGUAUAAAAUAUCGAGAGAACAACCUCACAAAGAGGCAAAGGCUCCUCAAUAAGAGGAAAGAUUCUCUAGAAGUCCAAACUUUUUCCUACAAGAAAAAGGACUUGCCAAAUAUAUGAGAAUUAUAAUUUCCUUCUACAAAAAGGAAAACCUGGUAAAUAUGUUGUCAUUUCCUUCCAGAGAUAUAAAAACCAAAUAUAGUAAGAAAAUCAUGACAAUACAAAGCUGAACAAAUUCUGCAAACCUAUACAUACCGUUCGCACAACUUAGCAUAUUUGCACCAGCUGCACUUAUUGCCUUUUAAGCUCAGUUUUGGUUGCUUUUUCCAUCUGAAAACACAAAGUAACGACAAACCAUAUCAAAUAGUGUAAAAAUUUACAAAAGAAUCAAGCAAUUAGACUAAGAAUGUAUAUCUAAAUCACUAUAUAUAUUUUCAGCAGCAUCAAGGACCGAUAAGGCAAUAAAGUCCGUAUGAUAUACAUCUUUGUCAAGUACACAAUGGCAGUACUUCUUACUACACUGCUAGACCAUGAUUUUGUGGCUUAAAUGAGAAUAUUAUGAUUAUUGAAGAUCAUGUGCUAAGAAUAACAUAUUAGAUAUAGUCCAGUGUUUAAGAUUGAGUUGAAAGUCAAUUGAUGUUUCUGUGCUGAUUUUCUCCAAACUAUGGCCACAUAUUUUUUUCCUUCAUCGACCGUAGUUUUUUCUUAUUAUUGUUAAAUAAAAUCUACAGUUGUUGUGUUUUAAAUUUUAUUUUACACUAAUGUAGUCGAAGUGGGAGAAUUUAGAGAAAUAUUUUGCAUUGUCUUAAAUAUUUUAUUUAUGUUUUAACUAUAUAUUUCGUGUUUGAUAGUAGUCCAUAAAUGCGAACCUAAUUGUAAGUGUG